RNAcentral lists this ribosomal RNA (494 nucleotides) under uncultured Anaerolineae bacterium. RNAcentral describes it as "bacterial SSU rRNA". It matches the Rfam family "Bacterial small subunit ribosomal RNA", at positions 354 to 863 of the family's 1533-position model. The record is from RNAcentral. Lineage: Bacteria; Bacillati; Chloroflexota; Anaerolineae.
GUAAGGGAUAUUGCACAAUGGACGGAAGUCUGAUGCAGCGACGCCGCGUGGGUGAAGAAGGUUUUCGGAUCGUAAAGCCCUUUUCUAUGUGACGAGAGAGGACGGUAGCAUAGGAAUAAGUGUCGGCUAACUACGUGCCAGCAGCCGCGGUAAAACGUAGGACGCGAACGUUAUCCGGAGUUACUGGGCGUAAAGCGCGCGCAGGCUGUAUGUUAAGUUACCUAUGAAAGGUAUCGGCUAAACUGGUAUAAGUUAGGUAGGACUGGCGUACUAGAGAGAAAUAGAGGGAAGUAGAAUUCCGGGUGUAGUGGUGAAAUGCGUAGAUAUCCGGAGGAAUACCGGUGGCGAAGGCGGCUUCCUGGAUUUCCACUGACGCUGAGGCGCGAAAGCGUGGGUAGCGAACGGGAUUAGAAACCCCGGUAGUCCACGCCGUAAACGAUGUACAUUAGGCGUUCGGUUACGGAAGUAAUUGAGUGUCGCAGCAAACGCGAUAA